GCCACUAUAACUCAGUGGCUACAGCGUUGGUCUCGUAAACCAAAGGUCGCAAGUUCGAAUCUUGUUGGCGGCA
Molecule: transfer RNA, 73 nt
Filed under: Trichonephila inaurata madagascariensis
Lineage: Eukaryota; Metazoa; Arthropoda; Arachnida; Araneae; Nephilidae
Rfam family: tRNA
About the family: Transfer RNA (tRNA) molecules are approximately 80 nucleotides in length. Their secondary structure includes four short double-helical elements and three loops (D, anti-codon, and T loops).
Source: Rfam by way of RNAcentral